UACGGAGGAUCCAAGCGUUAUCCGGAUUUAUUGGGUUUAAAGGGUGCGUAGGCGGCUUAUUAAGUCAGGGGUGAAAGACGGUGGCUCAACCAUCGCAGUGCCUUUGAUACUGAUGAGCUUGAAUGUACUAGAGGUAGGCGGAAUGUGACAAGUAGCGGUGAAAUGCAUAGAUAUGUCACAGAACACCGAUUGCGAAGGCAGCUUACUAUGGUAUUAUUGACGCUGAGGCACGAAAGCGUGGGGAUCAAACAGG
RNAcentral lists this ribosomal RNA (253 nucleotides) under uncultured bacterium. Its description in RNAcentral is "partial 16S ribosomal RNA". It matches the Rfam family "Bacterial small subunit ribosomal RNA", at positions 524 to 776 of the family's 1533-position model. The record is from RNAcentral.